Cricetulus griseus (Chinese hamster) is the source of this 271-nucleotide unclassified non-coding RNA. Its record names the gene 7SK. It matches the Rfam family "7SK RNA". Rfam says of the family: 7SK was discovered as an abundant small nuclear RNA in the mid-70s but a possible function has only recently been suggested. Two independent studies have found that 7SK RNA binds the CDK9/cyclin T complex (known as elongation factor P-TEFb). NCBI's taxonomy places the organism in Eukaryota, Metazoa, Chordata, Mammalia, Rodentia, Cricetidae. The record is from Ensembl.
GGAUAUGGGGGUGAUCUGGCUGCAACAUCUGUCACCUCAUUGAUUGCCAGGGCUGAUCUGGCUGGCUAGGCAGGUGCCCUGUUCCUCCCUCCCCACACCGUGUGCAUCCUUCCUUAAGAGCACUGGGCCAAGGAGGAUGACCUUCCCCAAACAGAGGAGGACCAAUCUUCAGUCAAGGGUAUAUCAGCUGAGCGGCUGACUAGAAGCUAGCCUACAAACAAGUUCCAAAAUGCCAACCUCAUAGACAUAUGGGCAUUUAGUAUCAAUCUCU